Molecule: non-coding RNA, 391 nt
Organism: Puma concolor (puma)
Lineage: Eukaryota; Metazoa; Chordata; Mammalia; Carnivora; Felidae
Source: RefSeq, a predicted model, not a curated record
AGCCAGCUUCUCUGAGUCUCAAUUUCCUCAUAACAUGGCUCAGAAAUGGUCACUGCAGCCCAAACUCUAGAUGAACCUUCAGCUCAAGCAUCCAAAUUACAGAUAACCCUCUGAUGGCUCUGAGGAAUGUUAACCUCUGGAGUAGCAGCUCUCAACAAAACAUGGUCCUGCUGAUGUUUCAUGCCUCUGUCGAAAAGGUAUCCCUGAACCCCAUUAUUAUGCAGACCCCCGAACUGGGUGAACUGUCUCUCAGCCAGAAUUUGGAGAGAUCAAGGAGGCACUGAUUGAUCUUCCCCAUCAUGGAAAAUUACCACUCUGGAUGGAGAAAACUGAGACUUGGAGAAAUUGAGUAAAGUGCCCAAGGGUUACCCAGCCCUAGUUCUAUGUGAUG